Molecule: ribosomal RNA, 468 nt
Filed under: uncultured bacterium
Lineage: Bacteria
Description: partial 16S ribosomal RNA
Rfam family: Bacterial small subunit ribosomal RNA
Source: RNAcentral
GACGAACGCUGGCGGCGUGCUUAACACAUGCAAGUCGAACGGAAAGGCCCUGCUUUUGUGGGGUGCUCGAGUGGCGAACGGGUGAGUAACACGUGAGUAACCUGCCCUUGACUUUGGGAUAACUUCAGGAAACUGGGGCUAAUACCGGAUAGGAGCUCCUGCUGCAUGGUGGGGGUUGGAAAGUUUCGGCGGUUGGGGAUGGACUCGCGGCUUAUCAGCUUGUUGGUGGGGUAGUGGCUUACCAAGGCUUUGACGGAUAGCCGGCCUGAGAGGGUGACCGGCCACAUUGGGACUGAGAUACGGCCCAGACUCCUACGGGAGGCAGCAGUGGGGAAUAUUGCACAAUGGGCGGAAGCCUGAUGCAGCAACGCCGCGUGCGGGAUGACGGCCUUCGGGUUGUAAACCGCUUUCGCCUGCGACGAAGCGUGAGUGACGGUAAUGGGUAAAGAAGCACCGGCUAACUACGUG